GAUGAACGCUGGCGGCGUGCCUAAUACAUGCAAGUCGAGCGAACAGAUGAGGAGCUUGCUCCUCUGACGUUAGCGGCGGACGGGUGAGUAACACGUGGAUAACCUACCUAUAAGACUGGGAUAACUUCGGGAAACCGGAGCUAAUACCGGAUAAUAUAUUGAACCGCAUGGUUCAAUAGUGAAAGACGGUUUUGCUGUCACUUAUAGAUGGAUCCGCGCCGCAUUAGCUAGUUGGUAAGGUAACGGCUUACCAAGGCAACGAUGCGUAGCCGACCUGAGGGGGUGAUCGGCCACACUGGAACUGAGACACGGUCCAGACUCCUACGGGAGGCAGCAGUAGGGAAUCUUCCGCAAUGGGCGAAAGCCUGACGGAGCAACGCCGCGUGAGUGAUGAAGGUCUUCGGAUCGUAAAACUCCGUUAUUAGGGAAGAACAAAUGUGUAAGUAACUAUGCACGUCUUGACGGUACCUAAUCAGAAAGCCACGGCUAACUACGUG
RNAcentral lists this ribosomal RNA (497 nucleotides) under uncultured bacterium. RNAcentral describes it as "partial 16S ribosomal RNA". It matches the Rfam family "Bacterial small subunit ribosomal RNA", at positions 28 to 507 of the family's 1533-position model. The record is from RNAcentral.